GACGAACGCUGGCGGCGUGCCUAAUACAUGCAAGUUGAGCGCUGAAGGUUGGUACUUGUACCAACUGGAUGAGCAGCGAACGGGUGAGUAACGCGUGGGGAAUCUGCCUUUGAGCGGGGGACAACAUUUGGAAACGAAUGCUAAUACCGCAUAAAAACUUUAAACACAAGUUUUAAGUUUGAAAGAUGCAAUUGCAUCACUCAAAGAUGAUCCCGCGUUGUAUUAGCUAGUUGGGGAGGUAAAGGCCCACCAAGGCGAUGAUACAUAGCCGACCUGAGAGGGGGGUCGGCCCCCUUGGGACUUGGACACGGCCCCAGCCCCUUCGGGGGGCCGCAGUAGGGGAUCUUCGGCCAUGGGCGGAAGUCUGACCGGGGCACGCCGCGGUGGUGGAGGAGGUUUUCGGGUCCUUAAACUCUUUUGAUAGGGAAGAACGAUGGUUGGAGUGGAAUGCUCAUCAAGUGACGGUACCUACCCAGAAAGCGACGGCUAACUACGUG
RNAcentral lists this ribosomal RNA (497 nucleotides) under uncultured bacterium. Its description in RNAcentral is "partial 16S ribosomal RNA". It matches the Rfam family "Bacterial small subunit ribosomal RNA", at positions 28 to 507 of the family's 1533-position model. The record is from RNAcentral.